GACGAACGCUGGCGGCGUGCCUAAUACAUGCAAGUUGAGCGCUGAAGGUUGGUACUUGUACCAACUGGAUGAGCAGCGAACGGGUGAGUAACGCGUGGGGAAUCUGCCUUUGAGCGGGGGACAACAUUUGGAAACGAAUGCUAAUACCGCAUAAAAACUUUAAACACAAGUUUUAAGUUUGAAAGAUGCAAUUGCAUCACUCAAAGAUGAUCCCGCGUUGUAUUAGCUAGUUGGUGAGGUAAAGGCUCACCAAGGCGAUGAUACAUAGCCGACCUGAGAGGGUGAUCGGCCACAUUGGGACUGGGACACGGCCCAAACUCCUACGGGAGGCAGCAGUAGGGAAUCUUCGGCAAUGGACGAAAGUCUGACCGGGCAACGCCGCGGGAGUGAAGAAGGUUUUCGGAUCGUAAAACUCUGUUGGUAGAGAAGAACGUUGGUGAGAGGGGAAAGCUCAUCAAGUGACGGUAACUACCCAGAAAGGGACGGCUAACUACGUG
Molecule: ribosomal RNA, 497 nt
Filed under: uncultured bacterium
Lineage: Bacteria
Description: partial 16S ribosomal RNA
Rfam family: Bacterial small subunit ribosomal RNA
Source: RNAcentral